RNA transcript from Echinops telfairi (small Madagascar hedgehog), 3843 nucleotides. It is a transcript of the gene named advillin, with no coding region annotated. The record is from RefSeq and is a predicted model, not a curated record. The transcript is spliced from 16 exons. Lineage: Eukaryota; Metazoa; Chordata; Mammalia; Afrosoricida; Tenrecidae.
CAGGCCAGACCAGGCACACCCUCCUUCCUUGGCUAGCACCCUGACCCUUCUUCCCCACCCAACCCUGCCAUUGUCCCUCUUUCUACAAGGCACAGGGAACAGAUUAGUCAUAUGACAAGGAGAAAGCAUUAUUUGCGAUUUAGGAUAGUUUAGUCUGAGAAGCGUAGAAAGUCUAAGUCCAAAGGGGAGACUGGAAGGUUGGUUGUGGGGAGGCUCUGCAGGCAGGGGCAAUGAGAGGAUGCGCAAAGGCAACUGGGUCCCCUCACCCCCAUGUGCCACGGAAGUUAGCGAAGCUUAGCAAGUCUCUGCCAGCACAGGUUGCAGAGUCGGAUCUGAACUCCCUCUAGUGUGUGACCUAGGGCACAAGCAUUAACAAUACAGUGUACAAUGAAGAGAAUACACUCACCUAGAAAGCUGUUCAUCACCGUCACCGGGAGCAUGGAGGCCAGUACCCGAGCUCAUCACCAGGGAAGCAGCAGAUGGGAGGUAGAACUUCUAGGGAGGCACCAGGUGCCCACCGGGCUCACAGGCUUGCAGUUAACUUGGACAAGUCAUAGCCCCAUCACAUGUCAGGCAGUGCAGGGUGUGCCGAGAAGACCCAGCCCAGCCACUGAGGAGAGGAUGGGAAGUGACUCGGAGGAGGUUAGAUGUCUGCAAGCCAUGAAAGGCAUCAUCUCCCCUCUUGCUCUGUGAUGUUUCAGUCCUGGGACCCCGAGCACCAUGUCUCUGAGCAGUGCCUUCCGGGCUGUGGGCAAUGACCCUGGGAUCAUCACCUGGAGGAUAGAGAACAUGGAGCUGGCGCUGGUGCCCCUGAAUGCCCAUGGCAACUUCUAUGAGGGGGACUGCUACGUCAUCCUCUCGACCCGGAGGGCAGGAAGUCUCCUCUCUCAAGACAUCCACUACUGGAUCGGGAAGGAGUCCUCUCAGGACGAGCAAAGCUGUGCAGCCAUCUACACCACCCAACUGGAUGACUACCUGGGAGGCAGUCCCGUGCAGCACCGAGAGGUCCAGGACCAUGAGUCUGACACCUUCCGCGGCUACUUCAAGCAGGGAAUCAUCUACAAGAAGGGGGGUGUGGCCACCGGGAUGAAGCAUGUGGAAACCAACACCUACGCGGUCAAGCGGCUACUCCAUGUGAAGGGGAAGAGAAACAUCAGGGCCACUGAGGUAAGUGCUGGUCCAGGGCCUCCCCAUCUAGCACCCAAGAAGCCCUCCCGACCCACACCCGGCUCUCAUCGGCAGGUGGAAAUGAGCUGGGACAGUUUCAACCAGGGGGAUGUCUUCUUGUUGGACCUUGGAAAGGCCAUCAUCCAAUGGAAUGGCCCAGAGAGCAACAGUGGGGAGCGCCUGAAGGCUAUGCUUCUGGCAAAAGACAUUCGAGACAGGGAGCGAGGGGGCCGUGCUGAAAUAGGAGUGAUCGAGGGAGACAGGGAGGCGGCCAGCCCGGAGCUGCUGAAGGUCCUUCAGGACACCCUUGGCAGACGCUCCAUCAUCAAGCCUGCAAUCGCCGAUGAGAUCAUAGAUCAGCAGCAGAAAUCAAACAUCAUGCUGUACCAUGUCUCAGAUGCAGAUGGGCAGCUGGCGGUCACAGAAGUCGCCACAAAGCCUCUGGUCCAAGACUUACUGAGCCAUGAUGACUGCUAUAUCCUGGACCAAAGUGGAACCAAGAUCUACGUGUGGAAAGGAAAAGGAGCCAGCAAGGUUGAGAAACAGAUGGCCAUGUCUAAAGCCCUGAGCUUCAUCAAGAUGAAGGGCUACCCCAGCAGCACCAACAUAGAGACGGUCAACGACGGUGCCGAAUCCGCCAUGUUCAAGCAGCUCUUCCAGAAGUGGGCAGUGAAGGACCAGACCACAGGCCUAGGGAAAACAUUCAGCAUUGGGAAGAUUGGUGAGCCCCAUCACCCUCACUGCCAGGAAUCUCUACAGCAGCAGGCAUGGCUGCUGCAUCUUAUUCACGUGGCUUUUCCCAACCCCUUCCCUGCAGCUAAAGUCAUCCAAGACAAGUUUGAUGUGACUGCACUGCACAACAAGCCCGAGGCAGCUGCCCAGGAAAGAAUGGUUGAUGAUGGCAAUGGGGAAGUCGAGGUCUGGAGAAUUGAAAACCUAGAGCUGGUCCCUGUGGAGCCUCAGUGGUACGGCUUCUUUUACGGGGGAGACUGCUAUCUGAUUCUCUACACAUACAAGGUUAACGGAAAGCCAAACUACAUCUUAUACAUCUGGCAGGGCCGCCACGCUUCCCAGGAUGAGCUAGCAGCCUCAGCAUACCAGGCAGUGGAGGUCGAUGGGCAGUUUGAUGGCACCCCAGUGCAGGUUCGGGUCACCAUGGGAAAGGAGCCACGCCACUUCAUGGCCAUCUUCAAAGGGAAGCUGAUUAUCUUUGAGGGUGGAACUUCCAGGAAGGGAAAUGUGGAGCCGGACCCUCCAGUCAGGCUCUUCCAAAUUCAGGGAAACGACAAAUCUAACACCAAAGCAGUGGAGGUUCCAGCCUUCGCCUCUUCAUUAAACUCCAACGACGUCUUCCUGCUGCGCAGCCAGACAGAGCACUACCUGUGGUACGGCAAGGGGUCGAGCGGGGAUGAACGGGCCAUGGCUAAGGAGCUGGCAGGGCUCCUCUGUGACGGCGCUGAGGACACGGUGGCCGAGGGCCAGGAGCCAGCUGAGUUCUGGGACCUGCUAGGAGGGAAAACUCCCUAUGCCAAUGACAAAAGACUACAGCAGGAAACCCUGGAUGUCCAGCCACGCCUCUUUGAGUGCUCCAAUAAGACUGGUCGGUUCAUUGUCACUGAGAUCACAGACUUCACCCAGGAUGACCUGAACCCCGGGGAUGUGAUGCUCCUGGAUACCUGGGAUGAGGUAUUCUUGUGGAUUGGGGCUGAGGCAAAUGCCACAGAGAAGGAGAAAGCCCUUGCUACCGCCCAGGAGUACCUGAACACCCAUCCCAGCGGCAGAGACGUCAACACCCCAAUCCUAAUCAUUAAACAGGGCUUUGAGCCGCCCAUCUUCACAGGCUGGUUCCUGGCCUGGGACCCUCACAUUUGGAGCGCAGGAAAAUCUUAUGAACAGUUAAAGGAAGAGCUGGCGGAUACUGCUGCCAUCAUGAGAAUCACAGCUGUGAGUUGGUGCUAGGGACUGAACUGUGUGUGUGUCCCCCAUCCCCACCACACUAUAAAUCCUAACCUCUCUGCCUAGUUAUAAUCCCACUUGGAAAUGAGCUUUCUUUGAGAUGUGAGUGAGCCAGGGUUCGUGUAAGGGGUAUCCUGAUCUCUUUGGAGAUAGAAGAGCUAUUAACUGUGUCAGCCAGCAAAGGGGGCAGGGAGAUGUGAAGCCACAUGAAGAUGGCCCAAGAGCCAAGUGAGAGAGAAAACCUGCCCCGAGAGCCAGCCCUCCAACCUCGUCAACUGUGCGAGAAUACGUGUCUCUGUUAAAGCCACUGCUCCUGUUUCUGUUACAGCAGCUUGCUCCUAAAGCAAGUAACACAGGCAACCAAAGCCAAUGACAGCAAUGCCACAUAGACAAAACCCUGACAUGUCCCUUUUAGAAUUAUUUAAUCGUCUAUUUUGAUUUUUUUUUUUUCCCCCAAAUCAGUGGAAAAAGCAGGCCUCAGAGCCAAGUUCUGUGUCUGAUUACCUCCCGGAAUUUAAAAGACAUGCCAUUCAAAUUCACUGUCAGUAUUGGUUUUCAGAAGUAAUAAGCUUCUAACACAAAUGACAGUUGCAUCAGUGCCUGCUGCCAGUGAAGUGCACAGAAAUUAAGUCAUCUUGUCCCUAGUUCAUGGCUGAGGGACACAGGGUCUCAGCCAGGAACCCUCAAGCUCUUUAACAUCAAGGACAUGAGCAACACGGC